This 1267-nucleotide small RNA is filed under the name Pongo abelii (Sumatran orangutan). RNAcentral describes it as "processed transcript". Lineage: Eukaryota; Metazoa; Chordata; Mammalia; Primates; Hominidae. The record is from RNAcentral.
GUGAUUAUUGAUUGCUGAAGAACUGAGCUAUAAAUGAAGGAACCAAAAGCUCAGCGCCUCAUCCCCUGUGCCUUCGUGGCUGUUUGGACCGACCUGCCACUCCAGAAAUGGAGAUCUUCACCCUUUUCAACAAACCGAAGAGCCAUCAGAAGUGCCGGCAAUACUAUCCUGUCACCAUUCCUCUCCGUGUCUCCAAGAAUGGCCAGACAGUGAGCGGUUUGGAUGCCAACUGGUUAGAGCACAUGAGCGACCACUUCCGGAAAGGAGGCAUGCUGGUGAACGCAGUCUUCUACCUUGGAAUAGUGAAUGAUUCCUUACAUGGCUUGACAGAUGGAGUAUUCAUCUUUGAAGCUGUUUCCACAGAAGAUAGCAAAACCAUACAGGGCUAUGAUGCUAUUGUGGUUGAACAAUGGACAGUCCUGGAAGGUGUCGAAGUGCAGACAGACUACGUGCCCCUGCUGAACUCGCUGGCGGCCUAUGGCUGGCAGCUCACCUGUGUGCUACCAACUCCCGUCGUCAAGACUACCAGUGAGGGGAGUGUAUCCACCAAGCAGAUUGUCUUUCUUCAGAGACCGUGUCUACCUCAGAAAAUCAAGAAGAAGGAAUCGAAGUUUCAGUGGCGAUUCUCCAGAGAAGAAAUGCACAACAGGCAGAUGAGGAAAUCGAAAGGUAAACUCAGUGCCAGAGACAAACAACAAGCAGAAGAAAAUGAGAAGAAUUUAGAAGACCAGUCUUCCAAAGCUGGAGACAUGGGAAACUGUGUUUCGGGACAGCAGCAGGAGGGUGGAGUCUCCGAGGAGAUGAAGGGCCCUGUCCAAGAGGACAAGGGAGAACAGCUGUCCCCUGGUGGCCGGCUGUGUGGGGUGGGUGUGGAGGGCGAGGCUGUGCAGAAUGGUCCUGCCAGCCACAGCAAGGCCCUGAUGGGGAUUUGCACUGGGCACUCCAAUCCUGGAGAGGAUGCCAGGGACGGGGAUGCUGAGGAAGAAAACUAGGUGAGUUGCCAAACCCAAGGCAUCUUACCAACAGCUGGUUUGGGGGCUGGUUUCCCUGGUGUUGUGUGUUACCUACCCUUUGGCUUGGCUUGACCUCUCCUUGUGAGCUCACCUGAACCCUCCCAGGGCCAGGUUCCUGACAGUGUUGGUUUUUGCACAUCCACUGGAAAGUUGUCAUUAAUGACCCAGUGUUAGAAUGCAAGAGGUCAGGUUAUUUCUUCUAGCCCUCAUGGCUGAAGGCCCAGUCCUGGCUCCACCACUCUGCCAGCCGGAGG